AGAGUUUGAUCAUGGCUCAGGAUGAACGCUAGCUACAGGCUUAACACAUGCAAGUCGAGGGGAAACGACAUCGAAAGCUUGCUUUUGAUGGGCGUCGACCGGCGCACGGGUGAGUAACGCGUAUCCAACCUGCCCAUCACUUGGGGAUAACCUUGCGAAAGUAAGACUAAUACCCAAUGACGUCUCUAGAAGACAUCUGAAAGAGAUUAAAGAUUUAUCGGUGAUGGAUGGGGAUGCGUCUGAUUAGCUUGUUGGCGGGGUAACGGCCACAAGGCGACGAUCAGUAGGGGUUCCGAGACGGGUAAGUCCCCCANAUUGGAACUGAGACACGGUCCAAACUCCUACGGGAGCA
RNAcentral lists this ribosomal RNA (352 nucleotides) under uncultured bacterium. Its description in RNAcentral is "bacterial SSU rRNA". It matches the Rfam family "Bacterial small subunit ribosomal RNA", at positions 8 to 349 of the family's 1533-position model. The record is from RNAcentral.